This 468-nucleotide ribosomal RNA is filed under the name uncultured bacterium. RNAcentral's name for it is "partial 16S ribosomal RNA". It matches the Rfam family "Bacterial small subunit ribosomal RNA", at positions 28 to 507 of the family's 1533-position model. The record is from RNAcentral.
GACGAACGCUGGCGGCGUGCUUAACACAUGCAAGUCGAACGGAAAGGCCCUGCUUUUGUGGGGUGCUCGAGUGGCGAACGGGUGAGUAACACGUGAGUAACCUGCCCUUGACUUUGGGAUAACUUCAGGAAACUGGGGCUAAUACCGGAUAGGAGCUCCUGCUGCAUGGUGGGGGUUGGAAAGUUUCGGCGGUUGGGGAUGGACUCGCGGCUUAUCAGCUUGUUGGUGGGGUAGUGGCUUACCAAGGCUUUGACGGGUAGCCGGCCUGAGAGGGUGACCGGCCACAUUGGGACUGAGAUACGGCCCAGACUCCUACGGGAGGCAGCAGUGGGGAACAUUGCACAAUGGGCGGAAGCCUGAUGCAGCAACGCCGCGUGCGGGAUGACGGCCUUCGGGUUGUAAACCGCUUUCGCCUGUGACGAAGCGUGAGUGACAGUAAUGGGUAAAGAAGCACCGGCUAACUACGUG